RNAcentral lists this ribosomal RNA (660 nucleotides) under Roseovarius sp. RNAcentral describes it as "bacterial SSU rRNA". It matches the Rfam family "Bacterial small subunit ribosomal RNA", at positions 42 to 747 of the family's 1533-position model. Lineage: Bacteria; Pseudomonadati; Pseudomonadota; Alphaproteobacteria; Rhodobacterales; Roseobacteraceae. The record is from RNAcentral.
GGAUGCGCAGCUACACAUGCAAGUCGAGCGAACCUUCGGGUUAGCGGCGGACGGGUGAGUAACGCGUGGGAACGUACCCUCUUCUGCGGGAUAGCCACUGGAAACGGUGAGUAAUACCGCAUACGCCCUUCGGGGGAAAGAUUUAUCGGAGGAGGAUCGGCCCGCGUUGGAUUAGGUAGUUGGUGGGGUAAUGGCCUACCAAGCCUACGAUCCAUAGCUGGUUUUAGAGGAUGAUCAGCCACACUGGGACUGAGACACGGCCCAGACUCCUACGGGAGGCAGCAGUGGGGAAUCUUAGACAAUGGGCGCAAGCCUGAUCUAGCCAUGCCGCGUGAGUGACGAAGGCCUUAGGGUCGUAAAGCUCUUUCGCCAGAGAUGAUAAUGACAGUAUCUGGUAAAGAAACCCCGGCUAACUCCGUGCCAGCAGCCGCGGUAAUACGGAGGGGGUUAGCGUUGUUCGGAAUUACUGGGCGUAAAGCGCACGUAGGCGGAUUGGAAAGUUGGGGGUGAAAUCCCAGGGCUCAACCCUGGAACUGCCUCCAAAACUCCCAGUCUGGAGUUCGAGAGAGGUGAGUGGAAUUCCGAGUGUAGAGGUGAAAUUCGUAGAUAUUCGGAGGAACACCAGUGGCGAAGGCGGCUCACUGGCUCGAUACUGACGCU